Long non-coding RNA from Marmota flaviventris (yellow-bellied marmot), 762 nucleotides. RefSeq lists it as uncharacterized. NCBI's taxonomy places the organism in Eukaryota, Metazoa, Chordata, Mammalia, Rodentia, Sciuridae. The record is from RefSeq and is a predicted model, not a curated record.
CUCAACAGUGGUCAGGCCCAAAUGGGAGGGAUCCACAGCCCCAUAGGAUUUGGGCUAGACAGAGGGGCCUCGAAGGCAAAGUCCAGAGACUGAGGCCUGAUCACAGCCAGAGUCUCAAGCUCAAGUGUCUUCUGUAGAGAUGCCUUGGCAGCUACCAACCAACCCACCUCCGUGGAGCUCCAGCUCUCCUCUGCCUUCACCACGGCCCCUCCAUACAGGCUCCCUUGCUGUCAUCUGAACAGGGGCCAGAAGCUGAAAGCAAGCUAAGGGCCCACUGAAGGAUGAACAGGUGAACCAAGUGCGAUCUACUCAUAUAGCUGAAUACGACUCAUCUUCCAAAAGAAGAACAUUCUGCCAGCUGUGGUGGACACCCAUAGAUACUCAGGUGGGACGCUCGAGCCCAGAGGUGCAAGAUGGGCCUGAGCAACAGAGUAAGCCCUGUGUGUGGGGGGAUGAACCCGGAGCCCACUGUGCCACGUAGAACUAGGCAGACACGAAGGGCAGCCACAGCAUGACUGCACCCCAGGAAGCCCCUGGAGCCCUCCCACUCCAACGGAGGAACACGGGGGAACCGAGCUUCCCUCUGGAAAGAAGUGCUGGGGAUGGGCGUGGCUACAGAGCAGCGGAACAUGCUGAACUGAACGCCCACACCGUUACCAGGACAAGCAUUGUUACCACAAUUAAAAAAGUGGUUAAAGAAGGCCAAUUUUAGGCGUUAUGUUCUGACCCACAAUGAAACGAACCUCCCACACGGAGACGGGG